CUUCUACGCAGAGGUAGACCCCGUCGCUGUUGAAAAUCUUGCGGAUGAAGCCAUUGGUGCUGAAGCCGCCAAGGAGCGAACCCUGCUCGAGUCCAAGUUAGGGGGUACUCGGAACAACCGGGUGUUCGCCUUCUUCGAAAUCGAGGCUCCUCGGCGCGUCGCCGACGCUCGGUUGGCUGAGGCCGAAGGGAGGAAGAAGACGAAAGGAGAGUCCUCGUGAGCAGCCGGGGGCAAACACAAGAAAACAUCCAAGGGCGGUGGUAACACCGGGGCCCUGGAGAAGAAAAAACACAGGGGCGAAGGGGGAAAAGAUCGCCCGAAGAAACGUUCCCGCCUUAUUGAUACCGUUCUCUCCCAGUCACCACUUCGUAGUAAAGGGGAUUCCGAAGGGGAUGCUGGUUCGAGCAGUCAUUCUGCCACCGUGGGGGGGGGGACUCUAGGGGGUCAUGCCAUCGCUGCGGCCCGUGCUACCGAGGAUGUUGUUGCUGCGAAGCCUGUAUUUUCGCUACAGCUCAGCGACAUCGAGCCUGAUAGCGACGAGGAGGUGGAAACGCGACUUCGCACAACACCGGCAUCAGUUGCAGCAGAAAAGGCCCUUGCAAUGACUGUAUCAUCCUCUGAGAAAGGCAGCAAGACAGAUGGAAACGAAGAGGAGCUGGAGGAUGUCCCUCCGUCUGGUGAUGCGGUGGCGAAGGGCAAAAAUGUUAUUGAGGAAGACAGCGGCAGCGGUUCGAGCUCCUCGGAGAGCAGUGGCUAUGUCAUAAGCACGUCUAGCCCUGCUGAAGUCGCCGAGGCCCUCGGUGCAACCAAUGCGAGGCUGAUCGGUGGUCACGUGGUUGGAAAACUUCGCUUCGAGAGCGGGCAACAUGAACGAACCUUCGUUGACGAAGCCGGGGACUCAUUUUGCUUUCCGCUCAUGGAGCGAAGGCUAAUGAGGACUGGGGCCGGUCACGCCAUUCGCUGUGCCGAGGAUCUUGCCUUGAAGUCAUAUGUUGCAGCUCGGUGCGCCCGUCGUCAGAUGGACGUGGAGCGAGGCCAGCCUUCGAGGAUUUCCGAACUGGAGCGGAGGGUCGCCUAAUUGGAGAGAGAGAAACAUGACUUGGAGGUGUCCCUCUCUACAGCGAAAGCUGAUACGGAGAACGCUCUUCUAGCGGCCCGCGAAGAAUCUGAAACCGCGAAGGUUGAUGCUGCCGAGGCUCGGCGACAACUGGAAGCGAAGAGUGAAGAGCUGUCCGAGGCUAAACGCAUGCACCUGGCUGCAAAGUGCAAACCAAGCUAUUAAUGCCUAUCGCGAAGCCGUUCGAGCUGGAGCCGAACCCCUUCAGCUCGAUGUUGCUGGCUUUUUAAGAUCUUUGGGUCUUUCCGCUCCCGACCUUUCUCCGAUGGCUAAUUCCGUUUCGAUUUCCGAAUUGUUUCGCUGGCUUCGGGCGUGCAUCGCCAUGGCUACCUCUGGUAGCCGUGCGAUGGGAGACUUAAGUGCUGCGGUGGCAGUGCGCUCUCUUAGUGCCACCAUCUGCAAGUUUAUCCCUGCCGAAGGAGGUGCCGAAGCCGUUGUGACAAAGGCUCGGCUUCGAUCGAUGCGUGAUUUAUCGUUCGCGUGGCCUUCACCGGAUGAGGUCCGCCCCGAAGCACUGCCGCCUCUUCCCAAAAACAUCGCCAAGAGUUUUACAGCUACUUUUUGUCAAGACAAGUGGUCGGGACCUCGUCCGUGCCGAGGCGGAACGACUUCGGAAGCAGCUUCAAGACAAUGCUGAGGCCUAUGCACUCAAUUUUCUCGGCCCCGCCAACGCGGGGAACCUUCAAGUCGUGACGACAAACGAAGCAGUGGACCCUACAGUUGGCAUGGAUGGAUGCGAAGCCCCACCACUUAAUGAUGAUGUAAAUGCUGCCGAGUGAAGAACUCUUUGUGUAAUUAUUUUGCGAAUGAACUGGUUGUUUUGUAAUAAAACUAACACCUUCGGUGUCCGUGCAGGACCCUGCGUUGGAACCUGCGCGGAUAACCGAAGGUAUCCUACCUUUGUGGAUGCGUUGUGGUUCUUUAUGUGUUGCCGGCGGUGCCUUGGCUAAAUAUUCUUAUGAUCA
Molecule: long non-coding RNA, 2082 nt
Organism: Panicum virgatum (switchgrass)
Lineage: Eukaryota; Viridiplantae; Streptophyta; Magnoliopsida; Poales; Poaceae
Exons: 2
Source: RefSeq, a predicted model, not a curated record